Molecule: long non-coding RNA, 1468 nt
Filed under: Homo sapiens (human)
Lineage: Eukaryota; Metazoa; Chordata; Mammalia; Primates; Hominidae
Description: HSALNT0331406
Source: RNAcentral
UUCGCCCCCGGGCCUUUCAGUGGCGCGGGCCGAGUGGCCAUGGCGCUCGGGUGCGCGCAGUGCACGCGGUGAGCUGGAGACGCAGGCAUUGCGCGGCCCACCGGCUGAGCCCGCUCUCCCUGCGAGGGGGGCGCAGCUCGGUGGAGAGGGUGGCCCGGAGGACCGGGAACCGGGCUGGAGGCGCGCGGGGCUCACACCGCGGGGUCCGCGGGGAGCCGGGCCUCGGGCUGCAGGUGCAGGCUUGUGGCGGUGAGGCGACUGGAGCGGCACGGGAGCCCGCCCGUUUCGGGGAGAGCCCGGGGCGAUCGCGGGGGGAGGCCGGCCUGGCGUCCGGGAGCCCGGCGUGCUAGGGCCCGGUAGGCGGGGCGGGCCUCGCACUCGGUUGCUCGCUGCGGCGCCGGAGGAACGGGUCUAUGGGGGUGUGGGUGAGGCCAGAAGCCGGGUCGAAGAGGGGGAGGGGGUGCGAAGAGAUGGCGGUGUGUAGACAGGUGACCCGGUGGGUCGGUGACGCAGGAGGAGACUGCGCUUGGUGGCGGGAUCACUUAGUUGACAACAUCUAAAAAUUAGGAGGUGCGGCAGGGCGCGGUGGCUCACGCCUGUAAUCCUAGAACUUUGGGAGGUCGUGGCGGGUGGACUACCUGAGGUGAGGAGUUCGAGACCAGCCUGGCUAACCUGGUGAAACCCCGUCUCUAUUAAAAAUACGAAGCAAUGAGCUGGGCGUGGUGGCGGGCGCCUGUAAUCCCAGCUACUCGGGAGGCUGAGGCAGGAGAAUCACUUAAACCUGGGAGGCGGAGGUUGCAGUGAGCCGGGAUUGCGCCAUUGCACUCCAGCCUGGGUGACAGAGUGAGACUCUCUCAAAAAAAAAAAAAAAAAAAAAAAAAAAAAAAAAAAAAAAAAGGGAGGUGCUCAGUCAAGCCUCUGAGAGGAGUGGGGGGCGGGGCGAGGAGUCUCUUGCUCAGAGCCCCCUAGGGACUGGGACCCGUUGACUCUGAGCUGCUUUUGAGGCUGGAUCAGGUACCAGCGGCCUGGGGGUCGUACAGGAUGGGAGAGGCCGGGGCUUGGGAUGUUGCCAGAUCUACGUUGAAAAGUGAAGCAGGAAGAGAGGCACUGAGGCUGGGCACAUGGGGAAAACCGUGGAGAGCCGGCCUUUGGGGACUAGAAGAGUGGGAACAAUGGUUGACAAAUGUACUGAGAGGUGGGGCCUCUAAGCGUGGUUGGGAUUAACCUGUCGAUGGAUUCAUGGAUUAAAGGGUUAUCACCGGAGUGGGACUGGUGACUUCAUUAGAAGAGGAAGGAAGACCUGAGCUGGCCUGUGAAUAUGCUCCGCCCCCUGGCCAUGUGACACCUGCGCCACCCUCAGGACUCUGCAGAGUCCCCAGCAGCAAGAAGGCCCUCACCAGGUGCAGCCCCUCAACCUUGGACUUCUCAGCCCCCAGGGCUGUAACAAAUAAAUUCUUUUUUAAAGUAA